CCAAUAGCGUAUAUUAAAGUUGUUGCAGUUAAAAAGCUCGUAGUUGAAUUUCGGGAUCAAGGGAUCGGUCAUGCCUUGGUAUGUACUGGUUUUAUUGGUUCUCACCUUCUAAAGAACCAUAAUGUCAUUUAUUUGAUGUUAUGGGGAAUUAGGACUGUUACCUUGAAAAAAUUAGAGUGUUUAAAGCAAGCUUACGCUUGAAUACAUUGGCAUGGAAUAAUGAAAUAGGACAUCAGAUUCUAUUUUGUUGGUUUCUAGGAUCGAUGUAAUGAUUAAUAGGGAUAGUUGGUGGCAUUAGUAUUCAAUUGUCAGAGGUGAAAUUCUUGGAUUUAUUGAAGACUAACUACUGCGAAAGAAUUUGCCAAGGAUGUUUUCAUUAAUCAAGAACGAAAGUUAGGGGAUCGAAGACGAUCAGAUACCGUCGUAGUCUUAACCAUAUACUAUGCCGACUAGGGAUCGGAUGAUGUUAAUUUUUUAAUGACUCAUUCGGCACCUUACG
Molecule: unclassified non-coding RNA, 499 nt
Filed under: uncultured Glomeromycotina
Lineage: Eukaryota; Fungi; Glomeromycota
Description: SSU rRNA
Rfam family: Eukaryotic small subunit ribosomal RNA
Source: RNAcentral